GGCUCCAUGGUGUCGCGAUUAGCACUCUGGACUUUGAAUCCUCUGACCUGAGUUCAAAUCUUGGCGGAACCU
This 72-nucleotide transfer RNA is filed under the name Caenorhabditis japonica. It matches the Rfam family "tRNA". Rfam says of the family: Transfer RNA (tRNA) molecules are approximately 80 nucleotides in length. Their secondary structure includes four short double-helical elements and three loops (D, anti-codon, and T loops). Lineage: Eukaryota; Metazoa; Nematoda; Chromadorea; Rhabditida; Rhabditidae. The record is from Rfam by way of RNAcentral.